CCGCCCUCUCGUGGGACCCCAUUCAUGGUUUUCUCCAGGACAAUAUUGUUCCACUGAUGUUGGCGUGGGCUGUCUGCUAUCUCGGUGUGGGUUGGCGUCCAGUUUGUGAACAAGAAGAUUUAAUCUAGUGACGAUGAUUGCGUUUAGUGAGAGUUACAACUGCUAUUCGCUGGUUGAUCUGGUUGUCCGACCACUUUCUGAGGGAUGAGAGGGUUAAGUCCAUGGGUAUGACUGCGCUGCUGUUUUGCCUCUGAGAAUACCGUUGUGGGUCGCUCUGACGCCAACUCCGCACAACGGGGCUUCACUGUGUACCGGUAUUUCAGUCGGCAGCUCUGUUUUACGUGAACUCUUCCCUCUGCUGAGUCGUUUAACGUGCCCGCGGCUAGCUGGUUAGCAUCACUAGCCUGUUAUGUGGCUAAAGGUAAGGCUCGCACUCACUGCUUACCUGGUGCUCGUGUUCUUGAUGUCGCUGCACAGGUACCUAGGGUCCUGAGCAGAAAAACCUUAGCUGUGGUUCUUCAUGCCGGCUUGAACAACAGCAGCCUGAGGCAGUCGGAGAUCCUGAAGAGGGACUUCAACACCCUGGUGGGGACGGUUCGCAGGACAGCACCCAUGGUGAGGAUCGCUUUAACGCUUUAAAUCCAAAUUUCAAUAGCCAUUGUCGGAACUCAGAGCCGGUCUCCAAGUCGACACAUCACAGGGUGAUCUCCACACUUAGACUUUUUGGUUACUAAAGACUGUUUUAGUUAAAUUUAACUGUUAACUCUAUAAUUACUGC
This is a long non-coding RNA of Tachysurus fulvidraco (yellow catfish), 778 nucleotides long. RefSeq lists it as uncharacterized. NCBI's taxonomy places the organism in Eukaryota, Metazoa, Chordata, Actinopteri, Siluriformes, Bagridae. The record is from RefSeq and is a predicted model, not a curated record. The transcript is spliced from 5 exons.